Molecule: transfer RNA, 72 nt
Filed under: Camelus bactrianus (Bactrian camel)
Lineage: Eukaryota; Metazoa; Chordata; Mammalia; Artiodactyla; Camelidae
Also listed under: 1 other name
Rfam family: tRNA
About the family: Transfer RNA (tRNA) molecules are approximately 80 nucleotides in length. Their secondary structure includes four short double-helical elements and three loops (D, anti-codon, and T loops).
Source: Rfam by way of RNAcentral
GAGGGUAUAGCUCACCGGUAGAGCGCAUGCUUAGCAUGCAUGAGGUCCUGGGUUCAAUCCCCAGUUCCUCCA